RNAcentral lists this long non-coding RNA (2019 nucleotides) under Oryctolagus cuniculus (rabbit). Its description in RNAcentral is "lncRNA (ENSOCUG00000032482.1)". The record is from RNAcentral. Lineage: Eukaryota; Metazoa; Chordata; Mammalia; Lagomorpha; Leporidae.
UUCCCAGAAAGGCCAUCAAGGUACAUCGCCAUCGACGUGCGGUGACGAGCCGCACCCGCAGGCGGCCGACAAGGGCGCCUGGAGCCGGGCGCGCGGCCUGGGCGGCCUGCUCAGUGCCGUGGGUGGCGGCGGCGGCGGCGCAGGUGGCGGGUGCGGGGGCCCCGGCGCGGGCACGCUGCCCUCAGCCAACGCCUACGCCAGCAUCGACUUCCUGUCCCACCGCCUGAAGGAGGCGGCGGCCGUGAAAGAGUGAAGCGCGCAGCAGAGCGGAAGCUGGCGUCUCCCGGGUCGGAAGCAGCUUGUCCUCCGUGUUGGGAUCUGAGCGGUGACCCUGCGAGCCGCCCACACCUCUCGCGCUCCCACGCGGGGCGUUCACCAUCGUGCUGUCCAUGUCCUGUUUGUUGUUGAUUUUUUAAGAAAAAAAAAAAAAAAACACAGAAUUAGCUGAAGGAGCAAUUCUCAAAGACCGUUGGAUGUUCCCAUUGGCUGCAAGACGUCAGGGCCAGUGUCUUAAUCUCCUUCUCACUUUGAUCUUGGCUCAGCAAAGGCGCCCCUCAGCAUGCUGGGAGAUUCUACCGACAGCCAUGGAAGUGGUAAAAUCUGGUGUUUCCUGGCACCCUCUCAAAGCUACCACAGUCCUACCGCUGAGCUGUGUGUGGGAGCCGCAGGGCGACCCUUUCCUCUCUGGUGCGUGGAGCUGUGUCGGCGAGGGCACACUUCUUUAUUUCCAUGUACUUACUCAUUCCGUCAUGCUCGGGGACCCUCCAGCAUUUCCCUGAAGGCUUCCAGCAUCCCUGUUCACUGUUUGGAGACACCUUGGCCUUCCGGGACGCAUCGCGUAGGCCCCUGCAGCUUUGAUGUGCUCCUCUGUCUGAAGCCUUUUGCUGCUAAGCCUGGCGGAUUUCUUUGUCUCCCCGCUCCAGCUGCGUGGCGCCCAUGGUGGUGGAGACCCGUCUUCCGGGACACGGGUCUGGGGUCUCCAUCGGUCGUGGUGUUGCCAGCCCCGGCUCGGUCACCAGCACCGUCCUAUUCUUCCAGUGCUGCUCCUCCUCCGUCCCCUCCCCCCUCCCCUGUAAUUGUGGCCAAUCCCUUUUAUGGGGGGUGAUUUCCUGGCUAAUCUCUCCGGAUCACACUGGAUUUUUUUAUGAUCAUGAUUUGCUUCCUCUCGGGCGAGCUGCCGUAUUUGUCCGCGGCAGCGUCCACGCUGCUGUGUGCCUGCUGUCUUGGGUGGCCCUUGUUUGGGCUCGUUUUUAUGAAUGAAGGGCUGGGUUGAUUUAUGUGGCGCUGCCUGGGAGCUUCCUCGGCCGUGAGGCACCUCUGUGCCUCUUCCUUGAAUGGCUAACUACAGGCCCCAUAUAAGUGGGUGAGGCCGCCCCAGCAGGAGGAGAAACCAGGAGGCCAGGCCUCCUCCCCGCACACCCCUCCCGGACCAGCCGCCAACCCAGGGAGCUGACAGCGAGGGGCGAGGCCGGGAGCUCCCGGCCUCAGCCGCCCAAGUUUUGCAGCAGCCCAAGGCCUGGUUCCCAGUUCUGCUUUUCCGUGGCGCGUUUAAGCAGCUUGGUACCUCCGUGUGCCCUGCCAUCGUGGUGGCUGUUUGCAGAAUGAGUAUGCAUACGCCAAAACAGAGAGCAGUGUUUCCUUUUAUCCUUAAACCUCCACAACUCGCCCAAAAGCGUGUAGAAGGAGCUUUCAAAGGGUUUGUGGGAAAUGAAUUAAAACACAAGUUGAUUUUGAAAUCUGAGCACGUAGGGGACCUUAAAAAGAAUCGUGGAAAUGUUUUUAAAAAAACCACACAUAGGGGCCGGUGCUGUGGCGUUAGUGGGCUGAGCCUCUGCCUGUGGCGCGCCGGCAUCCCAUAUGUGUGCUGGUUCCAGUCCCGGCUGCUCCUCUUCUGAUCCAGCACUCUGCUGUGGCCUGGGAAAGCAGUAGAGGAUGGCCCCAGUCCUUGGGCCCCUGCACGUGCAUGGGAGACCCAGAGGAAGCUCCUGGCUCCUGGAUUUGGAUCAGCGUAGCUCUGGC